RNAcentral lists this ribosomal RNA (588 nucleotides) under Pseudoleucosporidium fasciculatum. Its description in RNAcentral is "eukaryotic LSU rRNA". It matches the Rfam family "Eukaryotic large subunit ribosomal RNA", at positions 62 to 648 of the family's 3401-position model. Lineage: Eukaryota; Fungi; Basidiomycota; Microbotryomycetes. The record is from RNAcentral.
AAACUAACAAGGAUUCCCCUAGUAACGGCGAGUGAAGCGGGAAAAGCUCAAAUUUGUAAUCUGGCACUUUCAGUGUCCGAGUUGUAAUCUCGAGAAGUGUUUUCCGCGCCGGACUGCAUACAAGUCUGUUGGAAUACAGCGUCAUAGUGGUGAGAACCCCGUAACUGAUGCAGAUGCCCGGUGCUUUGUGAUACACUUUCGAAGAGUCGAGUUGUUUGGGAAUGCAGCUCAAAUUGGGUGGUAAAUUCCAUCUAAAGCUAAAUAUUGGCGAGAGACCGAUAGCGAACAAGUACCGUGAGGGAAAGAUGAAAAGCACUUUGGAAAGAGAGUUAACAGUACGUGAAAUUGUUGGAAGGGAAACGAUUGAAGUCAGACUUGCUAUUUGGAGUUCAGCCGCAAGGUGUAUUCUUCAAUUUGCAGGCCAGCAUCAGUUUUCGGGGGUGGAAAAUCGUGAGUUGAAGGUAGCAGCCUAGCUGUGUUAUAGCUUCUUACUGGAUUCACCUUUGGGGACUGAGGAACGCAGUGUGCUUUUAGCAAUACCUUCGGGUAUUUCACACUUAGGAUGCUGGUGGAAUGGCUUUAAACGAC